Molecule: long non-coding RNA, 342 nt
Organism: Folsomia candida
Lineage: Eukaryota; Metazoa; Arthropoda; Collembola; Entomobryomorpha; Isotomidae
Exons: 3
Source: RefSeq, a predicted model, not a curated record
GUUUUCCAGCCAAGAGGAGAAGAAAGUACGGACUAAAAUGGAGGAACGAGGGAUUGGAAUUCGAAUAGCUUUCGUCACCUUGUUGGACUGGGAUUCAUUUAGGUCAUGUGACCUUUGACAUAAAGAUUUAUGUACAGUCAGCCAGACUUUGGACUUUAUUCUCCAUAAUAAAAAUAAUCCAAUGGCUCCCAAGGCAAGAAUAAUUCCCAUCAUCGAUGUCAAUUACCUUUCCGUCCAAAUGCCAUUUCUACAGGGGACGACUUCACGACACAAAUUUACAGACUUCAGUUAAGAUUUAUGUACCUCGUGUUCAAGUUUACGUUACAUAUUGAUACAUAUUUA